Molecule: ribosomal RNA, 587 nt
Filed under: uncultured bacterium
Lineage: Bacteria
Description: bacterial SSU rRNA
Rfam family: Bacterial small subunit ribosomal RNA
Source: RNAcentral
CCUACGGGAGGCAGCAGUGGGGAAUUUUGGACAAUGGGGGCAACCCUGAUCCAGCCAUUCCGCGUGGGUGAAGAAGGCCUUCGGGUUGUAAAGCCCUUUCGGCCGGAGCGAAACGGCAGGCGCUAACAUCGCCUGCUAAUGACGGUACCGGCAGAAGAAGCACCGGCUAACUACGUGCCAGCAGCCGCGGUAAUACGUAGGGUGCGAGCGUUAAUCGGAGUUACUGGGCGUAAAGCGUGCGCAGGCGGCUUUAUAAGACAGAUGUGAAAUCCCCGGGCUUAACCUGGGAACUGCAUUUGUGACUGUAAGGCUAGAGUGCGUCAGAGGGGGGUGGAAUUCCACGUGUAGCAGUGAAAUGCGUAGAGAUGUGGAGGAACACCGAUGGCGAAGGCAGCCCCCUGGGAUGACACUGACGCUCAUGCACGAAAGCGUGGGGAGCAAACAGGAUUAGAUACCCUGGUAGUCCACGCCCUAAACGAUGUCAACUGGUUGUUGGGGGAGUGAAAUCCUUCAGUAACGAAGCUAACGCGUGAAGUUGACCGCCUGGGGAGUACGGUCGCAAGAUUAAAACUCAAAGGAAUUGACGG